RNAcentral lists this ribosomal RNA (960 nucleotides) under Neoascochyta paspali. RNAcentral's name for it is "partial large subunit ribosomal RNA". It matches the Rfam family "Eukaryotic large subunit ribosomal RNA", at positions 68 to 1048 of the family's 3401-position model. RNAcentral also lists the same sequence under 1 other name. Lineage: Eukaryota; Fungi; Ascomycota; Dothideomycetes; Pleosporales; Didymellaceae. The record is from RNAcentral.
ACAGGGAUUGCCCUAGUAACGGCGAGUGAAGCGGCAACAGCUCAAAUUUGAAAUCUGGCGUCUUUGGCGUCCGAGUUGUAAUUUGCAGAGGGCGCUUUGGCGUUGGCAGCGGUCCAAGUUCCUUGGAACAGGACGUCACAGAGGGUGAGAAUCCCGUACGUGGUCGCUGGCCUUCGCCGUGUAAAGCCCCUUCGACGAGUCGAGUUGUUUGGGAAUGCAGCUCUAAAUGGGAGGUAAAUUUCUUCUAAAGCUAAAUACUGGCCAGAGACCGAUAGCGCACAAGUAGAGUGAUCGAAAGAUGAAAAGCACUUUGGAAAGAGAGUCAAACAGCACGUGAAAUUGUUAAAAGGGAAGCGCUUGCAACCAGACUUGCCUGCAGUUGCUCAUCUGGACUUUUGUCCAGUGCAUUCUUCUGUAGGCAGGCCAGCAUCAGUUUGGGCGGUUAGAUAAAGGUCUCUGUCAUGUACCUCUCUUCGGGGAGAACUUAUAGGGGAGACGACAUGUAACCAGCCUGGACUGAGGUCCGCGCAUUUGCUAGGAUGCUGGCGUAAUGGUUGUAAGCGGCCCGUCUUGAAACACGGACCAAGGAGUCUAACAUCUAUGCGAGUGUUUGGGUGUCAAGCCCGAGCGCGCAAUGAAAGUGAACGGAGGUGGGAACCCGCAAGGGUGCACCAUCGACCGAUCCUGAUGUCUUCGGAUGGAUUUGAGUAAGAGCAUAGCUGUUGGGACCCGAAAGAUGGUGAACUAUGCUUGAAUAGGGUGAAGCCAGAGGAAACUCUGGUGGAGGCUCGCAGCGGUUCUGACGUGCAAAUCGAUCGUCAAAUUUGGGCAUAGGGGCGAAAGACUAAUCGAACUAUCUAGUAGCUGGUUCCUGCCGAAGUUUCCCUCAGGAUAGCAGUGACGUAUUCAGUUUUAUGAGGUAAAGCGAAUGAUUAGAGGCCUGGGGGUUGAAACAACCUU